GUUUUUCAGUCUGUACUGGCAGCGAAUCAUACAUAGCUUAGUUUAUCAGACAAGCUGCUUUUCUUGAGCAAAGAAAGAACUAGGAGAGAAACGGGGCUUUGGAACCCUGAUGCGGCAAUGCUGAAAGAGGAGAAAUAUCCCAAGGAAGGGAAAGGUGUGUUGCAGAACGAUGAAAAAUAGGCGGCUUCUCACAGCUGUUCUCAGGGGACGAGACGGGGUGGGAUGCAGCUCCGCCGGUGCCUAACACUAAGGGCCCUCAUCCUGCCGAUUCAGUUGUGUCGGGACCGCCAGUGCUGUCUCCUCGUCAGAUGCUGCUUCUGGUCUCCCCGCAGAAGAUGCCACUGGAGUUGCCUUUUCAAGGAUGGGGACAUUUGAAGGCCCUGGACGCUCAGCUCUGAGGCUGGCUGGGAUCUCACUAGCACCCCCUGGUGGAGGCCGGAGCCAGGCUGACGCGGGAAAGUGGGGCACGGAAGCGCUGCGGAUUGGACCGGCGGCAGCUAGGCCGAAACGCCUGUAUUUAAAGGGAUAGUAACUCGGACUCGUUCUGCAAUAUCCCCACAAGGGCCUGACUGAGCGAGCGAGCAUGGACGGCCGCGGGGCUUUCUGGACAGUGGCCAUUCCCAGAGCCAGGCAGGAAGGCCUCGGGAGGCUGGGGCUCCCGUUCCCGGUGAAGCGGACGCCGCCAGCGCCCCAGAACCCAGGAGGAAGCACACAGGCCCCACAGAGAGUGGUUGGCAAGAGUCACUCGGGGAUUAGGAUGCCGGCCAAAUCGCGGAAUUUGAGGCUGGAAUCCAAGCUCAACAGGAAAGUAGUGAAAUACAAAUGGGGAAAACAGGGCUCUGGAGCGGGGAGGGAGCUGGUGCCGGCAUUUCCCACCAACGCCGGUUUAGGAAGACGGGACCGAUGCCGGCCGCCCCCUGCUGGAGGGGAUGUGGCAUCUCACGGGCUGCCAGGGAGCGGGGUUGGCUACUCCUGCAACCAGCGUGAAGAGGGUCUCAGGGGAGGCUGUGGUGGGAUCCCCCACGUGCCCUUGUUCCUCUCACCGUUACCUCUGGAUGCCUCGGGGCAAAGGCCUUCUUCCACCUAUAGACAGAGUCUACGCAGGGGUCUUGGAACCCGGGCACACCAGUCCCCAGCUAACGAAAUCCCCGAGUUGGGGGAUUUGAGAGGGUCACGUUUGGCCCAAGAACCCGCAGUCCUCUUUGGUCUUCGGCCCUCUAUUUCUAAGCGUGGGCUUCUGGCACGGCGGCUCUGGGCACAGCCCAUGCUGCUUUCGGGCUGGGUGGUUUCAACGACGACAACAAUUAUCACAGUGACGGUGACCUUCACCCCAACAGGACUGCUGUGUGUGAAGCACUCAAGAGGGCCCCUACAACCAACCUGCCAGGAGUCGGCUCCUGAAAACAGGGUCGGAAAAGGUCAGUGCCCAUCAGAAUCGAGCUGUCGGCAAAAAGCUGGAGAGGUUAGGAGCUUUGUCUAUCUCAAGGGUAACAAACUGCUUUGACCCUGAGGGCUCUGAAGACGACUUUCCCUCACCGCAGCUCUCAAGACAACAGGGAUCAGACUCAGAAAGACACUGCCUGUAUAAGGCUCUUGUUUGUCUUGUUUUUAAUUCCUGCCCUCUGCCUCCAGAUCUCAGUCCUCUAUCUGUGAAACGGAAUUCGGCCUUGCCUGUCCACGAAAUGAAGACAAGGCAUCUCGUGUGUGUUAAGAUGAAACAAGAUCUUAGCAAGAGAGUAAUGAUUUCUUUUUUAAAACAUUUUUUACUGUAGUAAAAUGUACUAUAACGUAAAAUUACCAUUUCAAUCAUUUGUAAGUUCAGUGGCAUUAAGUACAUUCACAUUGUCGGGCAGCUGUCAGAGGUGUUCGAACCAGAGCGACUCCAUCUUGAACAGGUGCUGCGCAAAAUGAGGCUGAGACCUGCUGGGCUGCAUUCCCAGGAGGUUAGGCAUUCUUCGUCACAGGAUGAGUCAGUGGCUGCCAGGGAGGCAGGGGUCUGGCACUCUUCCUCAUGCUUACGAGAUGGCUGCUGGAAUUCCAGGAAUCACAUGCAAAUUCUAGUCAGGAGCAAAGAGGAAGAGACACAGUGAAAAGGGGUAUACAGCGGCAGAAGGAAGCUCCUCAAAUGAACUCUGCUAGAACUCUAGCCAGUAGCUUCUCCUUCUAUCACAGUGGCCAGAACUGUGACAAGUGACCAUCCUUAGGGGAAAAAAGAUGCUGAGAAAUGUGAAUUUUGUUGCCACCUUACAUUUUCAAAGGAGUUCCAUUCGUAAGUACAGAACGCUCAGAGAAGAGGCAGCAGAUCUAGGAUAUGGAGCAGCAGCUCUUAAGGGCACAGUGGGAAGGUUUCAAGACUGAGGAGGAUCUUGGAUUUGGGUAGGGGAAGGCAGUUCACAGUAUUGUGGAGGAAAUGCUGUGAAAGAGAAAGUGGAAGGCAUGGAAGCUUAAACUUUUAAUAUGACUGGUGAAUACAAGGAUGAAGGGCAAAGGGAAUUCAGACUCAUGGUGGUCAGAUUAAGACCUUCAGCGGCUCUGUCUCCCAGCCCCACAUACCCACUUCCAUGUUCUGCUCUUUACUGAAGCUGAAAGUCUGCAACCUUCAUUCUCUGACUCCCUUACAUUUUCUUAGGCUUCUUGCUAGCUUCUGCCAAAAAGAGGCCCUGGCAGGAGAUUAGAUGGCAGGAGGCAGAGGUAAGGAUUCCAUGUUAACAGGUGCUGGAAGUUGCUGGUGUGGCAAUGAGAACUGGGCCCCGGUCAAGGCAGCACUACUUUGGUAGAUCCAGAAUCAACCAUGAUAACCGUGACAGUGUCUUCAACAGUGCAGCAGUAGACACAGGCCCCUGGUGCUGGAAUCCAAUACAGGGACAGGAGCAGCACGGAGUCACGGAACACCGUCUUGCCUUCAUGUCACUUUACCAUUUCUUCUUUCUCCCUCUUACUCUACCAGCUACCUGUGGAGAUGUUGAACCUUUUAUCUGUCGCUGUCUGCUUAGGAACAGAAGAAAAGGCAGCUGAUUGCUUGACUCAGCUUUCAGCUUGAUUUUUUUCCUUUGGCAGAGUGAAUUGGGGUCCCAGGUGUUCAUUUUCCUUUUGUAGUACCUUUCCUCAGCAUGCAAUUAAUACAAAAAGAACAAUAAACCUUAACAAAGUUUGGCUUGUAUUAUUCCAGACUUUCCUCUUGGAUUUUAUGUACACUUAUCUGAAUCCAUGCAGAUCAUGUCAUGUGUGUCUGUGUGUUUAUACACAUUUUUUUUUCGGUGUGCCUCAUUCUGCAACUUGAUUUUUUAAAAAAUUCGAUAACUGAUCUUGGAGAUCUGUCCAUGUUGUUACAUAUAUGAGAUUUUUGUAUUUCCUUUAAUUAAUGGUGUUCAAGUAGCCGUUUAUGUAACGAUGAACAUUCAGGUUUUUGCAAUUUUUUGCUCUUAAUAAGGUGCCCUGGUGAACAAACAUUCUUGUACAUGUGCCAGAGUUUCUCUGGAGUAAUUAACCAGCGUGGAAUUACAGAGUUGUAGAAUGUGUGCAUUUUUAGUUUUAUUAAAACUAAAAAGUAAAACUUUAAUUUUA
Homo sapiens (human) is the source of this 3564-nucleotide long non-coding RNA. Ensembl annotates it as spermatogenesis associated 41. Its record names the gene SPATA41. Lineage: Eukaryota; Metazoa; Chordata; Mammalia; Primates; Hominidae. The record is from Ensembl.